RNAcentral lists this ribosomal RNA (465 nucleotides) under Vreelandella stevensii. RNAcentral's name for it is "partial 16S ribosomal RNA". It matches the Rfam family "Bacterial small subunit ribosomal RNA", at positions 338 to 795 of the family's 1533-position model. Lineage: Bacteria; Pseudomonadati; Pseudomonadota; Gammaproteobacteria; Oceanospirillales; Halomonadaceae. The record is from RNAcentral.
CCUACGGGAGGCAGCAGUGGGGAAUAUUGGACAAUGGGGGCAACCCUGAUCCAGCCAUGCCGCGUGUGUGAAGAAGGCCCUCGGGUUGUAAAGCACUUUCAGUGAGGAAGAACGCCUGGUGGUUAAUACCCAUCAGGAAAGACAUCACUCACAGAAGAAGGACCGGCUAACUCCGUGCCAGCAGCCGCGGUAAUACGGAGGGUGCGAGCGUUAAUCGGAAUUACUGGGCGUAAAGCGCGCGUAGGUGGCUUGAUAAGCCGGUUGUGAAAGCCCCGGGCUCAACCUGGGAACGGCAUCCGGAACUGUCAAGCUAGAGUGCAGGAGAGGAAGGUAGAAUUCCCGGUGUAGCGGUGAAAUGCGUAGAGAUCGGGAGGAAUACCAGUGGCGAAGGCGGCCUUCUGGACUGACACUGACACUGAGGUGCGAAAGCGUGGGUAGCAAACAGGAUAAGAUACCCGUGUAGUC